This 86-nucleotide transfer RNA is filed under the name Tabrizicola sp. RNAcentral's name for it is "tRNA-Leu". It matches the Rfam family "tRNA". From Rfam's summary of the family: Transfer RNA (tRNA) molecules are approximately 80 nucleotides in length. Their secondary structure includes four short double-helical elements and three loops (D, anti-codon, and T loops). Lineage: Bacteria; Pseudomonadati; Pseudomonadota; Alphaproteobacteria; Rhodobacterales; Paracoccaceae. The record is from RNAcentral.
GCCCGCGUGGUGAAAUGGUAGACACAGGGGACUUAAAAUCCCUCGGCUGAAAGGCCUUGCCGGUUCAAGUCCGGCCGCGGGCACCA